GUGGGGAAUAUUGGGCAAUGGGCGAAAGCCUGACCCAGCAACGCCGCGUGAAGGAAGAAGGCUUUCGGGUUGUAAACUUCUUUUGUCAGGGACGAAAAAAAUGACGGUACCUGACGAAUAAGCCACGGCUAACUACGUGCCAGCAGCCGCGGUAAUACGUAGGUGGCAAGCGUUAUCCGGAUUUACUUGGUGUAAAGGGCGUGUAGGCGGGAAAGCAAGUCAGAUGUGAAAACUAUGGGCUCAACCCAUAGCCUGCAUUUGAAACUGUUUUUCUUGAGUACUGGAGAGGCAGAUGGAAUUCCUAGUGUAGCGGUGAAAUGCGUAGAUAUUAGGAGGAACACCAGUGGCGAAGGCGAUCUGCUGGACAGCAACUGACGCUGAGGCGCGAAAGCGUGGGGAGCAAACAGGAUUAGAACCCCUGGUAGUCC
This 428-nucleotide ribosomal RNA is filed under the name uncultured bacterium. RNAcentral's name for it is "partial 16S ribosomal RNA". It matches the Rfam family "Bacterial small subunit ribosomal RNA", at positions 354 to 796 of the family's 1533-position model. The record is from RNAcentral.